GUGGGGAAUCUUAGACAAUGGGCGCAAGCCUGAUCUAGCCAUGCCGCGUGAGCGAUGAAGGCCUUAGGGUUGUAAAGCUCUUUCGUGGGGGAAGAUAAUGACUGUACCCCAAGAAGAAGCCCCGGCUAACUCCGUGCCAGCAGCCGCGGUAAUACGGAGGGGGCUAGCGUUGUUCGGAAUUACUGGGCGUAAAGCGCACGUAGGCGGACUGGAAAGUCAGGGGUGAAAUCCCGGGGCUCAACCCCGGAACUGCCUUUGAAACUACCAGUCUUGAGUUCGAGAGAGGUGAGUGGAAUUCCGAGUGUAGAGGUGAAAUUCGUAGAUAUUCGGAGGAACACCAGUGGCGAAGGCGGCUCACUGGCUCGAUACUGACGCUGAGGUGCGAAAGCGUGGGGAGCAAACAGGAUUAGAUACCCCAGUAGUCC
This 425-nucleotide ribosomal RNA is filed under the name uncultured bacterium. RNAcentral's name for it is "partial 16S ribosomal RNA". It matches the Rfam family "Bacterial small subunit ribosomal RNA", at positions 354 to 796 of the family's 1533-position model. The record is from RNAcentral.